This 232-nucleotide long non-coding RNA is filed under the name Hordeum vulgare. Its description in RNAcentral is "long non-coding RNA (HVUL_LNC004114)". Lineage: Eukaryota; Viridiplantae; Streptophyta; Magnoliopsida; Poales; Poaceae. The record is from RNAcentral.
UCUAAACGGUGCCCUAAGGGCUGUAUAUAUGAGGGAAAAGAGAGGCAAUUUCGUAACCCUUGGGGAAGGGUUCCGAAAACAGCCCUAGUCUCGUUUUCCCCACACAUACGGACUCUAAAAAUAGCCUAUAUUAUGGUAUUUCGAAAUUACAUGGGCCUGGCCCAAAAAUAAGGUGGCGCAACACCUAUAAUAGCCUAUGGACGAAAUUAAUAAAGUGGGGUCUUGAAUAUUU